This 778-nucleotide ribosomal RNA is filed under the name uncultured Neocallimastigales. RNAcentral's name for it is "partial large subunit ribosomal RNA". It matches the Rfam family "Eukaryotic large subunit ribosomal RNA", at positions 23 to 643 of the family's 3401-position model. Lineage: Eukaryota; Fungi; Neocallimastigomycota; Neocallimastigomycetes; Neocallimastigales. The record is from RNAcentral.
AGAGAUGUGUGAUGACGCAUAUCAAUAAGCGGAGGAAAAGAAACUAACAAGGAUUCCCUUAGUAACGGCGAGUGAAGCGGGAAGAGCUCAAAUUUGAAAUCUUCAAGGUUUUACCUUGACGAAUUGUAGUUUAAAGAAGUGUUUUCUGUUAGUAGAGUGGCAAAAGUUCUUUGGAAUAGGACAUCAUAGAGGGUGAGAAUCCCGUAUUUGGUCAUUCUUUCUAGCUUUGUGAUACACUUUCAACGAGUCGGAUUGUUUGGGAAUGCAGUCCAAAAUGGGUGGUAAAUUUCAUCUAAAGCUAAAUAUUGGCGAGAGACCGAUAGCGAACAAGUACCGUGAGGGAAAGAUGAAAAGAACUUUGAAAAGAGAGUUAAACAGUACGUGAAAUUGUCAAAAGGGAAGCGUUUGACACCAGUGUUGUUUUUUCCGAAAAUCAAUUACGAAUGUUUUGUUUUUGAAGGAGUUAUGACUUCAUCGGCUUGCUUCCUUUCCUUACUGAAACUUUCUUAAUGCACUUUUCGGUUAACAAGUCAACAUCAAUUUCUUUUGUUGUAAAAGGGUACGAGGAAGGUGGCUUUCUUUUCGGAGAAAGUGUUUAUAGCCUUGUACCUCUGCAAUCGGAGAGAUUGAGGUCUGCAGCGUAGAUCCUUCGGGGUUAGAUACAUUUGUGCUAAGUUAUAGCUUUUCAUAGACAACUUGUUGACUAUGUUAAGUCUUGUAGCUUACUCGCUUACGCUAUUUUACCUACGCUUAGGAUGUUGAAGAUGUAGCACAUCAU